Molecule: long non-coding RNA, 252 nt
Organism: Oxyura jamaicensis (ruddy duck)
Lineage: Eukaryota; Metazoa; Chordata; Aves; Anseriformes; Anatidae
Exons: 3
Source: RefSeq, a predicted model, not a curated record
ACCGGAGCAGAAGUCCCCUGCGGCCUGUGGUGAGGACCAUGGUGAAGCAGGCUGUCCCCCUGCAGCCCAUGGAGUACCACAGUGGAGCAGGGUUCCACGCUACAGCCCAUGGAGAAGACCACGGUAGAGCAGGUGGACCUGCACCGACAGAGACUGCAGUCUGUGGAAGACCCCUGAUGGAGCAGAUUCCGGGCCGGACCUGUAGCUGCAGCCGUGGAGAGGAGGCCACGCAGGAGCAGGAUUCUCAUGAUU